UCCUUGGUGCUGGGAUAUAAAACACAGAUC
This 30-nucleotide non-coding RNA is filed under the name Rattus norvegicus (Norway rat). Lineage: Eukaryota; Metazoa; Chordata; Mammalia; Rodentia; Muridae. The record is from RNAcentral.